Molecule: ribosomal RNA, 941 nt
Filed under: human gut metagenome
Description: bacterial SSU rRNA
Rfam family: Bacterial small subunit ribosomal RNA
Source: RNAcentral
AGAGUUUGAUCCUGGCUCAGGAUGAACGCUGGCGGCGUGCUUAACACAUGCAAGUCGAACGAUUAACCCAAACUUCGGUUUGGUUAUAAAGUGGCGAACGGGUGAGUAACACGUGACCAACCUGCCUUCUAGAUCGGGAUAACUCAAGGAAACUUGUGCUAAUACCGGAUACUCCGGAGCAAUCGCAUGGUAGCUCCGGGAAAGCUUUUGCGCUAGAAGAUGGGGUCGCGGCCUAUUAGGUAGUUGGUGGGGUAGAGGCCUACCAAGCCUGCGAUAGGUAGCCGGGUUGAGAGACUGAUCGGCCACAUUGGGACUGAGAUACGGCCCAGACUCCUACGGGAGGCAGCAGUGGGGAAUUUUGCGCAAUGGGGGCAACCCUGACGCAGCAACGCCGCGUGCGGGAUGAAGGUCUUCGGAUUGUAAACCGCUUUCAGUAGGGAAUAAGUAUGAAGGUACCUACAGAAGAAGCACCGGCUAAAUACGUGCCAGCAGCCGCGGUAAUACGUAUGGUGCAAGCGUUAUCCGGAAUCAUUGGGCGUAAAGCGCGCGUAGGCGGCUUGUUAAGCAGGAAUUUAAAUCUUAGGGCUCAACCUUAAGUCGGUUCCUGAACUGGCAGGCUCGAGUGCGGUAGAGGAAGGUGGAAUUCCCAGUGUAGCGGUGAAAUGCGCAGAUAUUGGGAAGAACACCGAUGGCGAAGGCAGCCUUCUGGGCCGCCACUGACGCUGAGGCGCGAAAGCUAGGGGAGCGAACAGGAUUAGAUACCCUGGUAGUCCUAGCCGUAAACGAUGGGCACUAGGUGUGGGGAGGAAUUCUCUCCGUGCCGCAGCUAACGCAUUAAGUGCCCCGCCUGGGGAGUACGGCCGCAAGGCUAAAACUCAAAGGAAUUGACGGGGGCCCGCACAAGCAGCGGAGCAUGUGGCUUAAUUCGAAGCAACGCGAAG